GCUAUACAUGCAAGUCGAACGAACUCUGGUAUUGAUUGGUGCUUGCAUCAUGAUUUACAUUUGAGUGAGUGGCGAACUGGUGAGUAACACGUGGGAAACCUGCCCAGAAGCGGGGGAUAACACCUGGAAACAGAUGCUAAUACCGCAUAACAACUUGGACCGCAUGGUCCGAGUUUGAAAGAUGGCUUCGGCUAUCACUUUUGGAUGGUCCCGCGGCGUAUUAGCUAGAUGGUGAGGUAACGGCUCACCAUGGCAAUGAUACGUAGCCGACCUGAGAGGGUAAUCGGCCACAUUGGGACUGAGACACGGCCCAAACUCCUACGGGAGGCAGCAGUAGGGAAUCUUCCACAAUGGACGAAAGUCUGAUGGAGCAACGCCGCGUGAGUGAAGAAGGGUUUCGGCUCGUAAAACUCUGUUGUUAAAGAAGAACAUAUCUGAGAGUAACUGUUCAGGUAUUGACGGUAUUUAACCAGAAAGCCACGGCUAACUACGUGCCAGCAGCCGCGGUAAUACGUAGGUGGCAAGCGUUGUCCGGAUUUAUUGGGCGUAAAGCGAGCGCAGGCGGUUUUUUAAGUCUGAUGUGAAAGCCUUCGGCUCAACCGAAGAAGUGCAUCGGAAACUGGGAAACUUGAGUGCAGAAGAGGACAGUGGAACUCCAUGUGUAGCGGUGAAAUGCGUAGAUAUAUGGAAGAACACCAGUGGCGAAGGCGGCUGUCUGGUCUGUAACUGACGCUGAGGCUCGAAAGUAUGGGUAGCAAACAGGAUUAGAUACCCUGGUAGUCCAUACCGUAAACGAUGAAUGCUAAGUGUUGGAGGGUUUCCGCCCUUCAGUGCUGCAGCUAACGCAUUAAGCAUUCCGCCUGGGGAGUACGGCCGCAAGGCUGAAACUCAAAGGAAUUGACGGGGGCCCGCACAAGCGGUGGAGCAUGUGGUUUAAUUCGAAGCUACGCGAAGAACCUUACCAGGUCUUGACAUACUAUGCAAAUCUAAGAGAUUAGACGUUCCCUUCGGGGACAUGGAUACAGGUGGUGCAUGGUUGUCGUCAGCUCGUGUCGUGAGAUGUUGGGUUAAGUCCCGCAACGAGCGCAACCCUUAUUAUCAGUUGCCAGCAUUAAGUUGGGCACUCUGGUGAGACUGCCGGUGACAAACCGGAGGAAGGUGGGGAUGACGUCAAAUCAUCAUGCCCCUUAUGACCUGGGCUACACACGUGCUACAAUGGAUGGUACAACGAGUUGCGAACUCGCGAGAGUAAGCUAAUCUCUUAAAGCCAUUCUCAGUUCGGAUUGUAGGCUGCAACUCGCCUACAUGAAGUCGGAAUCGCUAGUAAUCGCGGAUCAGCAUGCCGCGGUGAAUACGUUCCCGGGCCUUGUACACACCGCCCGUCACACCAUGAGAGUUUGUAACACCCAAAGUCGGUGGGGUAACCUUUUAGGAACCAGCCGCCCU
This 1446-nucleotide ribosomal RNA is filed under the name Lactiplantibacillus plantarum. Its description in RNAcentral is "bacterial SSU rRNA". It matches the Rfam family "Bacterial small subunit ribosomal RNA". Lineage: Bacteria; Bacillati; Bacillota; Bacilli; Lactobacillales; Lactobacillaceae. The record is from RNAcentral.